AUGCGAGAAAGGCAGGCAGAAGGUAGAACGUGUAAUUACUGCAAAGGCGGUGGGCAUUGGAAGAGUGAGUGUCCAGUCCUCAAAUCAAAAAAUAAAUUCUCCGGUACGCAAGUAAGACCAGCGGCUUUGGCCAGUUCACUCAGCCCAGCGGUAGUGGUUGAGGAGCAGGUUGAAGCCAGGCGGCAGAAGAGCAUGGAGGGUUUUGGACCGUUCAUUUCUGAGGGUUUGGUCUCUUUGCCGGGUAGUGUUGAACAGGUGCCAGUAAAGAUACUGCGGGAUACCGGCUCAUUGGACUCAUUUGUGUGCAAGUCUGUUUUACCCUUCUCGUCGAAGACUGACACAGGACACUUUGUGCUGGUCAGAGGAAUGGGGAUGGUGGUGUUCCCUGCACCUGUGCAUAGGCUGUGUCUUGACUCAGGUUUGGUGAAGGGAGAUGUUGAGAUGGGUGUGCGCACUGAGUUGCCGGUGGAUGGGGUGGACAUCAUUCUGGGGAACGGUCUUGCUGGGGUGCAGGUGUGGGCUGAUGGUCCUUCUCCCAAUAUAGUCACUAAAAGUGUGCCUGGUCAAGGUCGACCAGACAGGGUAUCAGAUGUUGCCGUUGUGUAUCCGGUCUGUGCUGUGACGCGGGCCAUGACCACUGCGUGUGACGCACAGAGUCUUGCUACCAAGAAGUCAGAGUUGGAACCUGCUGAACUUUGUGUGACUUUGCCUGAUCAGUUUAAGUCUAUGUCACGAUCUGAGUUGGUUGCAGAGCAGGAAAAGGAUGAUAGUUUAAAAGAACUGUUUGACAAAGUACUUUCGCUUGGUGAGAUACUUAGGUCUGCUCAAGGCUAUUUUAUUCAGGAAGGCUUAUUGUUUAGGAAAUGGGUGCCUCAUGGAGAAGCUUUUGUUUGGGAACCUGUUUUUCAGUUUGUAGUGCCAAGAAGGUUUCGGGACUUGGUGUUACAAACUUGUCAUAAUAAUGUAGCUGGGCAUCCAGGGGUAAAGAAAACAUAUGACCGGGUGUUGCGGUACUGUUUUUGGCCCCGCCUGAAGCGUGAUGUUUUGGCUUAUGUCAAAACCUGUCAUACAUGUCAGUUAACCGGCAAGCCAAACAAGUCAAUCAGACCGGCUCCACUUUGUCAAAUUCCUGUGGUUGAGCAGCCAUUUGCACAUUUGAUUAUUGACUGUGUCGGGCCGUUGCCUUGUUCAAAACUU
This 1197-nucleotide long non-coding RNA is filed under the name Gadus morhua (Atlantic cod). Its description in RNAcentral is "lncRNA (ENSGMOG00000026096.1)". The record is from RNAcentral. Lineage: Eukaryota; Metazoa; Chordata; Actinopteri; Gadiformes; Gadidae.